Molecule: ribosomal RNA, 497 nt
Filed under: uncultured bacterium
Lineage: Bacteria
Description: partial 16S ribosomal RNA
Rfam family: Bacterial small subunit ribosomal RNA
Source: RNAcentral
GAUGAACGCUGGCGGCGUGCCUAAUACAUGCAAGUCGAGCGAACAGACGAGGAGCUUGCUCCUCUGACGUUAGCGGCGGACGGGUGAGUAACACGUGGAUAACCUACCUAUAAGACUGGGAUAACUUCGGGAAACCGGAGCUAAUACCGGAUAAUAUAUUGAACCGCAUGGUUCAAUAGUGAAAGACGGUUUUGCUGUCACUUAUAGAUGGAUCCGCGCCGCAUUAGCUAGUUGGUAAGGUAACGGGUUACCAAGGCAACGAUGCGUAGCCGACCUGAGAGGGUGAUCGGACAGACUGGAACUGAGACACGGUCCAGACUCCUACGGGAGGCCACAGUAGGGACUCCUCCGCGAUGGGCGAAAGCCUGACGGAGGACCGCCGCGUGAGUGAUGAACGUCUUCGGAUCGUAGAACUCUGUUAUUAGGGAAGAACAAAUGUGUAAGUAACUAUGCACGUCUUGACGGUACCUAAUCAGAAAGCCACGGCUAACUACGUG